Molecule: long non-coding RNA, 317 nt
Organism: Poeciliopsis prolifica (blackstripe livebearer)
Lineage: Eukaryota; Metazoa; Chordata; Actinopteri; Cyprinodontiformes; Poeciliidae
Exons: 3
Source: RefSeq, a predicted model, not a curated record
CAAGAAGAAAUAAUCGGAGAGAAACUUUUCCGUACUAAAUUUUAUUUCAACAAGAGUAACUAGAAAAAAAAUCCAACAAAGAUGAAGAAGAUUCCGAUGAUUUUGCUUGUGGUUAUUGCUUUAGAGAUGCAGACAAAAGCACAAAUGUCAACGACCACAACUGCCUCAAUAACAACCACAGCAGCUCCAACUACAACCACGACAGAACCAACAACAACCACAGUUGCUCCAACAACAACCACAGUUGCUCCAACAACAACCACAGCUGAAACAACAACAACCACAGCUGUCCCAACAACAACCACAGCUGAACCAAC